RNAcentral lists this ribosomal RNA (253 nucleotides) under uncultured bacterium. Its description in RNAcentral is "partial 16S ribosomal RNA". It matches the Rfam family "Bacterial small subunit ribosomal RNA", at positions 524 to 776 of the family's 1533-position model. The record is from RNAcentral.
UACGUAGGGGGCAAGCGUUGUCCGGAAUCAUUGGGCGUAAAGGGUGCGUAGGUGGCGCGUUAAGUCAGGUGUGAAAUUUCGGAGCUUAACUCCGAAACUGCAUUUGAUACUGGCGUGCUUGAGGACUGGAGAGGAGACUGGAAUUCAUGGUGUAGCAGUGAAAUGCGUAGAGAUCAUGAGGAAGACCAGUGGCGAAGGCGGGUCUCUGGACAGUUCCUGACACUGAGACACGAAGGCCAGGGGAGCAAACGGG